CCUACGGGGGGCUGCAGUGGGGAAUAUUGCACAAUGGGCGCAAGCCUGAUGCAGCCAUGCCGCGUGUGUGAAGAAGGCCUUCCGGUUGUAAAGCACUUUCAGCGGGGAGGAAGGCGUUAAGGUUAAUAACCUUGUCGAUUGACGUUACCCGCAGAAGAAGCACCGGCUAACUCCGUGCCAGCAGCCGCGGUAAUACGGAGGGUGCAAGCGUUAAUCGGAAUUACUGGGCGUAAAGCGCACGCAGGCGGUCUGUCAAGUCGGAUGUGAAAUCCCCGGGCUCAACCUGGGAACUGCAUUCGAAACUGGCAGGCUAGAGUCUUGUAGAGGGGGGUAGAAUUCCAGGUGUAGCGGUGAAAUGCGUAGAGAUCUGGAGGAAUACCGGUGGCGAAGGCGGCCCCCUGGACAAAGACUGACGCUCAGGUGCGAAAGCGUGGGGAGCAAACAGGAUUAGUACCCGUGUAGUC
RNAcentral lists this ribosomal RNA (464 nucleotides) under uncultured Klebsiella sp. RNAcentral describes it as "bacterial SSU rRNA". It matches the Rfam family "Bacterial small subunit ribosomal RNA", at positions 338 to 795 of the family's 1533-position model. Lineage: Bacteria; Pseudomonadati; Pseudomonadota; Gammaproteobacteria; Enterobacterales; Enterobacteriaceae. The record is from RNAcentral.